Molecule: ribosomal RNA, 138 nt
Filed under: uncultured eukaryote
Lineage: Eukaryota
Description: partial 18S ribosomal RNA
Rfam family: Eukaryotic small subunit ribosomal RNA
Source: RNAcentral
UGGUGGAGUGAUUUGUCUUCUUAAUUGCGAUAACGGACGAGACUCGUGCGUUCUACUGGUGUCUCGUAUCUUACGAUACUUGUAUACCUCUACAACGGACAACUCUUGAUAAGAGAGAGGAAGAGACGAGCAAUAACA